This is a long non-coding RNA of Musa acuminata AAA Group (dessert banana), 2295 nucleotides long. RefSeq lists it as uncharacterized. The transcript is spliced from 3 exons. The record is from RefSeq and is a predicted model, not a curated record. Lineage: Eukaryota; Viridiplantae; Streptophyta; Magnoliopsida; Zingiberales; Musaceae.
UGCAAGAAUCUGAAGUUAAUCCAAGUGCACCAGACAAACCCCAGCGCAGAAGAGAAAGAGAAAGAUCCCACAGAGGGGAGUGAAGAAAGCCAGCAGCUAGCUUUAUUUGUUGGCCCUCAAGCCCUGCAAGCUGGGAACCAAGACCUUCACAGUUUCUCCCCCUUCGUCUCUCUCCAAACUCAAUCCCACAUCCAUGUCCAUGUUGAGAACCAGCUAAGCCCCUGCUAGGGUUUGCUCAGUUUGGGAAGGUGGGAUGGGGUUUCCCGCAGUGGGUGGUGAGUUUGCACCACAAAAAGUGCCUCCUUUGGGUGAUAUUUUAAUGCCUAUUUGCUUUUGAGUAAGGAAAUCCUCCUCCUCUUCCUCCUCUUCCUCUUCCUCCUCCUCCAGGGCUAUAAAACUUCUACACCUCAACCGUAGUCCCUCAUCUUCUCCUCCACUUUCUCUUUGCAUCUUUUUCUUCAGAGAUCAGGUGGCAUUGGGUUUGCAGAUCCAGUGGUGUUUCUUUGUAUCCAUGGGGAGAGUUUUAUGGGGCUUCAUUCUCGUUGAGAGGAAGAAGAGAUGACAAAGGGUUGUUCUCUCUACUCUCUUUCUUUCACCCAUGCAGAGAAGAACAGGUGAUGGUGGGAAGAGUACAGGUGAAAUGGGUUGUGCCUGGCUCCCUGUAUGCCACACGUAUAGACCAAUCCUUGGAGUGAUUGGCUACUGUGGGUGGCGUGCAAGGAGCCAAGCAUGAAACCUUCUCUCUCUCUCUCUCUCUCUCUCUCUCUCUCUCUCUCUCUCUCUCUCUCUCUCUCUCUCUAUGCAUGAUCUUGCAGUCAUUUUAUGUAAGAGAUCAUAUACUUUAAGUUUGAUCUCGAUGAAGGUUUCAUUCUUUUGCAGGUCUAGUCACCAACCUCACGACGGAGAGAGAGAGAGAGAGAGAGAGAGAGAGAGAGAGAGUCUAAGAUUGGUGUUCUUCUGCUCACUACAAGUCGUGCUCAUGACACAGAAGUGGGUCUCAGUUUCUUGCAUUACAUGAACAUGGAUGAAACCAAGGAAUCCACGACAUGGAUUUGGAUCCAGCAGCCUUGACAAUUUCAGAUGUGUCAGCCCCCCCAAGUAGUCUUUCACUUCUACGGAUCUCCUUAAAGAACAACAACAUGAUCACGAGCAAGAAUGCUCUGUAACAUCUCAAAUCUCUCCCUUCUCUUUCUGGUCUUUCUGCUGAACUUGCUCAAAUGACGUCCGCAUCAUUCGCUGCAAGAGUUGGGAGCUCCCAUCUCCUCUCAUGCAGUCAGUUGAUCAUCACACCGACAUCUCCUACACCCAGUGAUAUCAACAACAGCUUCGCUGUUCUCAACAACUCCUCCAUCUUACAACGAAGCCACAAUCGAGUUCAACGAUCAAACACGAGUUCAAAGCUCAAUUUGACGCCUCAAUCUGAAACCAUUCCGUUCCAAGUCUCUCUUCAGGUGUUCUUCUAGUGGUCUACUGCUGUUCGUUCUCUCUCAUUAUCUCUUGCAUGGUGGAGCACAGCAGCUCCCUCCGCUGGGUUGGAGGGGCUUCUAUACCACCAUACUUUUAUGCCUUGCUUUUGUUGGUGGCAGUGCAAGCAAGAAGAGAGCCCAAGUGUUUUGGCUCAGAGGGUUGCCAGCUUUCUACCCUUCCGAGGUCUGAGCAGCUUUGUGUGACAUCCAAAGGGAAUUUUCAAGGUUAGGGAAGGAAGCCCAUCCGUCAUCAAGUACUCCGAAACCCUAUUUCCCUGUCUCCAAGACAUACAUGUAAUAUAAUAUACACAACACACACACACAUCUCCAUCACACAGUCUCUUCCUUCUUCUUCUUCUUGCUAAUCGAUCUGUCAUACUGCGACUCUGCUCGUUCCCUCCACAUGCUUACACCAAAGCUUACAUACAAAUGGUGCAGAGAGAAUGGAGCAGCUCGACUGGACUACUCUCCUCAACUUGAGGUCACAUGCACAUCUUAAAGCACCGAGGAUCUCCAUGGACAGGGACUUCUCCUGCAGGAUCCAAGAUCUGAGGUCAAUAAUGUUCUGAUGAUGCAGUACAAGCUCCUCAGAUGGAAUAUAUUCCACAUGAUGCUUGAGGCUGUGAUGUACUUAGGAAGAUGCACAAGCAUUCUAUGAGUGUAACUACAUCAACAUGUAGAUUUCUCGGAAGAGGUCCAGCCGAGACCGUGUGAAGAUGAACAGAAAAACAUCAGUCAUCAAAGCAUCCUAAAGAAUUUUGGGAUAGCAUUUCGAUGCAUACCUUACAGCCGAUAUCACCUGAUUAAUCUAAUCUUAGAUUCUUUGUCA